RNAcentral lists this unclassified non-coding RNA (284 nucleotides) under fungal sp. Its description in RNAcentral is "partial contains small subunit ribosomal RNA, internal transcribed spacer 1, and 5.8S ribosomal RNA". The stretch from base 1 to 47 matches the Rfam family "Eukaryotic small subunit ribosomal RNA", at positions 1785 to 1831 of the family's 1831-position model. The record is from RNAcentral. Lineage: Eukaryota; Fungi.
AAAGUCGUAACAAGGUUUCCGUAGGUGAACCUGCGGAAGGAUCAUUUAUGAGUUUGAACAGGACUUGAUGCUGGCUAUAUGCUUGUGCUCAGUUCUACUCAAUCCAUUAUACACCUGUGCACUUUCAAAGUUGUAGUCCUCCGUCAUGGGAGCCGUACCUUGUCAUGAGGUACUGGGACUAUAUGCUUUGCCCUUUAUUACAAACUUUAUUAUUGUCUUGUAGAAUGUUAAUAGCCUAAGGGCUUAACUUAAUACAACUUUCAACAACGGAUCUCUUGGCUCUC